This 225-nucleotide ribosomal RNA is filed under the name uncultured bacterium. RNAcentral's name for it is "partial 16S ribosomal RNA". It matches the Rfam family "Bacterial small subunit ribosomal RNA", at positions 15 to 231 of the family's 1533-position model. The record is from RNAcentral.
GAUCAUGCUCAGGAUGAACGCUAGCUACAGGCUUAACACAUGCAAGUCGAGGGGCAGCAUGGUCUUAGCUUGCUAAGGCCGAUGGCGACCGGCGCACGGGUGAGUAACACGUAUCCAACCUGCCGUCUACUCUUGGACAGCCUUCUAGAAAGGAAGAUUAGUACAAGAUGGCAUCAUGAGUCCGCAUGUUCACAUGAUUAAAGGUAUUCCGGUAGACGAGUGGGG